GACGAACGCUGGCGGCGUGCUUAACACAUGCAAGUCGAACGGAAAGGCCCUGCUUUUGUGGGGUGCUCGAGUGGCGAACGGGUGAGUAACACGUGAGUAACCUGCCCUUGACUUUGGGAUAACUUCAGGAAACUGGGGCUAAUACCGGAUAGGAGCUCCUGCUGCAUGGUGGGGGUUGGAAAGUUUCGGCGGUUGGGGAUGGACUCGCGGCUUAUCAGCUUGUUGGUGGGGUAGUGGCUUACCAAGGCUUUGACGGGUAGCCGGCCUGAGAGGGUGACCGGCCACAUUGGGACUGAGAUACGGCCCAGACUCCUACGGGAGGCAGCAGUGGGGAAUAUUGCACAAUGGGCGGAAGCCUGAUGCAGCAACGCCGCGUGCGGGAUGACGGCGUUCGGGUUGUAAACCGCUUUCGCCUGUGACGAAGCGUGAGUGACGGUAAUGGGUAAAGAAGCACCGGCUAACUACGUG
This 468-nucleotide ribosomal RNA is filed under the name uncultured bacterium. RNAcentral's name for it is "partial 16S ribosomal RNA". It matches the Rfam family "Bacterial small subunit ribosomal RNA", at positions 28 to 507 of the family's 1533-position model. The record is from RNAcentral.